UAUGGAUUUAUAUAGAUGUCAUAGGAGAGAUUAAUUUCAAAAGGAGAAAUGAACACUCGUCAGGUUACACGGAACAUGCAAUGUUCUUGCAUUUAUCCUGAGCUUAAUCAACAGAAAUAUAUCUCAACAAACUCUAUUAAAUGUACGUAUUGUUCUAUUAAUCGCACUUUAUAGCUGCGUACAAGUAACGAACAAAGAGAAAUGAGGCACGAAAACCCACACUUCCCAGUACAAGAAAUAUGCCGAAACAGACGCAUGCCAUAUAGCCGAAGAAAAAAGAGAUCUGCAAGAAACUAUUCAUGUAUGAUCUCUCAAAAUAAUAAUAGUUGCAAUAAACAUAUAUAUACAAUCCAGUAGAGCCUCCACACAGAAACGACCUGUGUCAAAUAAAGAACUCUUAUUAGUUGUAACUUAUAAAUUAUUAGCUCAUGCAUAUAGCAAUUCAAGACCAUAAUCAGUUAUCACACCAACUAUAUAUUUAACAUACCUCCACCACCAUUGAUGAUCUUCAACUGCAAGCUGGAAAAAUGUAAGUGCCACCGAAACUAAAGCAGUCAUGAUCAGAAGAAGAAAGAAGACUAUGGACAUAAUACCAUAAAGUGUAUAAACCCGAUAUCCCCAAACACUUGUAAAUAUGUAAUACAACUGAAUAUAGAUGACACUGAAAGGCAAAAUUCCUGCUAAAGCCAUCUGAGGGAGAACACCCCUAUACCAACGCAACUUAGGAACCUCUCUAGGAAUUUUAUCGGUUUUGCAGGGAGCUUGGAAUUCAGGCGUUCUUGUUUUCCCAAUAAUGCCUCCUAAAAGAUGCAAUGGUGAUGCUAUGAAUAUCCACAAGAGAGAUAACAUGACUAUUGCUCUCACUGGCAAUGCAGUAGUUGAUCCAUAAUAAAUGGCAACAUUUUCUAGGAAAGUAAAAGUAAGAAAGAGAGGCCCGAAAUAUAAUCCUCCUGCCACUAAUAGGUUCUUUAUCUGUAAGGGAGAAAUAAAGACAGCCAAUCCGUAUUAACCUUUUUAUGUGAAUAAAAAAUUAAAAAUAGAUCAAAUUGUAUAAGUUUCAAACCAAGUUUCAUAUUUUCACAUACCCAAUUGGUUCCUUCGAGUUGACAAUAGAAAGAAACAGAAGUAUAUCCUGAGACCAAAGAUGUAACUGCAUAUACAAUGAUAAGUGCGUUCCAGAAUACUCCUCGCAUAUAAGGCUUAAAAACACCUACGACCCCAAGACCAAGAAUUGCUACGAUCCUUCAAUUUCAACAAAAGAAAGGUUCGAAAAGUAAUUUAAGAUGCAACCCCAAAAAACAAUGUAUAAAAACCAUAAAAUAAAGGGAAAUCCACAAAAAUGACAAAAAUGGUAUUGGUUAUUUAACAAAAUUGCUUUUGAAUGGUUCCCACCUCAAAAAAAUAUUUAAACAGAAAAAUAAUAUUUCCCAAGAAAUCAUAUAUUGUAUUUCGCAAUUUUAGAAUGUAAUUUUCAAUAUAUAAACGUUUAUUUUGCAAGAUAAGACUCGAUUUCGCGUAUUAUUUUUCUCAGAAAACAAUGUUUUCCAAAUUUAGUUAAGGUUUUUCGUGGUGAGGCUACUAAAAAGUAAUUUCGCAAUUUGCAAUGAGACUAUGGCAAAAUCUGUGGUCAUUUUUUUGCAAAAAGUCAAAAGAUAAGACAUAUUUCAUAUUGUUUGGAGAUACUAACAGUAAUAGCAACUGGCUGCCAACACCAAGAGCCGCAGCAAAUAAAGACUUGUGUUGUGGGAAUCUAAAUACAUCACCAUGAACAUUAUUCCAUCCAAUCUCUUCUUGAUUACUUAUCACUUGAUCCUCUUCUACAUCGACUGAGUUCCUUUCAUUUUUCAUGCAUUGGGAAAACAAGAAAGGCAACACAAGAGUUAUUCUGUUUGACAAACAUAACAAACACAAUAAGCUGAAUAUAAAACUUAUUUUUUGUGAGUAGAAUCAAUACUUGGAAAUGUCUUUGCGAAGGACGAGUAAGUAAAAUGUGAGUAAGGAAACGAUCAGAAUGAGGAGUGUGACACUUGAGAAUGUAAUUGAGUGAUGAUGUAUCGGCAUGUUGUGAGGUAAAAUGGUAGAAUCAAUGUAUAUCUCCAUUCUCCUAUCAAAUGAUUGUUGUGUCAUUGUCCACUUAACAGAGUAUGUGAAGCCAACAUCAACUUCCUUGUCUUCUGUAACGUCUGUAAAUGAAUUUGCCAUUUGUAGAAUGACCUUAAUAACUUGAUCCUUAUUGUAAAAAACCUCGAAAUCAAAAUGUUUGUAAAGGGAAUACACUGUCUUGAUCCUUCCAUUAUAAUUUCCGUCAUUUCUCAUUCCUAUAAAUGCCCAUAUUGGCAAGUCAUCAUAGUGCAAUUGCAUAAAGUAGUUCUUCUCUAUCGCCCUUCUGAAAUUAGAAACAUCUAUUUUACUCAGUGUCUUAUUGCAUAAUACUUCAAAAUCUUUAUCCACAAGGAAUUCAAGCUUAUAUGGAGUUGAAACAAGACGAUCUCCAUUCAACAUUUCUCCUAAAUUAAGCUUUUUCUCUUUAACAACAUCUGUUAUUAGAUAAACAAUAUGGAAGGAUUGAGUAAGUAUAAAUGGAGAAGUUAAAAUGACUGAAAGAGAACAAAAGAAAGACCCAACACAUUCAUGAAAGAAUUAAGUACCUUGAGAACAAAAUGGAAGUUCAUAAUAAGCAUAUGUUUCUCUGAAAACAAAGUAAACAAGAAUAAGAAGGAACACACACAAAAAUAAAUAGAAAGGAAAAAUACUUUGGAGGAAAUGUGUCUAACCUAGAAUUAAAGUAUGGCCCAAUUUUGUUGGCAUAGAAGGGGACUGUAUCACCUUUACUGUAGCGAUGAUCAUUGGCAUCUGAUUCUACUUGGAUUCCAAGGUAGAUCAGUAGAAGCAUAAGAAAAGGGUAUUUUCGUAACUUUACCAUUCCUGUUGAUCUAUAAAUAAAAGUGAAAAAACAUGAGCAACUGUCAUACCAAAAAGCAGACAUAUCAUAACGAAAGCAUCUUGCAGGUAAAUACAAAACUGGUUCUCAUGAAGCCAUUUAAGUUGCACAAGUAUACCAUAUUGUUUUACAUCAAAACAUUACAAGAAUCUUUGUAGAUUUUGGAAAAGUUGAUGAUUUGACUAAAAAGAAUUUUGGGUUUUGUAUGUUAUAGAAUAUUUUGGUUGCCUAGUUUCUCAUUGUUCCAUAAACAAAUAAACAAAUUGCUCAAUCUGCUAUGCGUCACACAAUUAGGCGUUUAACUAUACUUCUUUCAAAGCAAUGGAGUACAGGAUAAAUGAAUGUCAUUGUUGCGAAGGAAACAAAAGCCAAGUUAUAAGGUGAAUCCUAGUAUUAAGAUAUGAACAAUCAAACAUAAGUAUUAUCCAAAAAAAAAAAAAACAAUUCAGUUGUAAUUUACUGGAGAGCUAACAGAGACAACAUAAUCAAACAUCAAACUAUAAUUGUCAAGUAAAUACCAAGAACGUGAGAUGAUCAGUGAUGGAGAAAGAGAGGUGUUUUUACAGUGAAGGAGAAGGAUGCGGUGAUGGAAAAGGUCUUAACUGGUUGCAAACCAGAAGUAUUGUUGGGGAUGGUGAGAGGACUUUGACUUUGAGUCUUCCACUCUCAUCAACCGACUGUUAAGUUCACUUGUCUCAUAUGUUGGUCGUUAUUUGUUCAAUAAUUUUGAGGAAGUUACAACUUAGAAAUGUUCUUUUUUUUUUCUUUUUUUUUUAAUAUUUUGAGUAAAUUACACGAAUGGUCCCUAUGGUUUGGCAUAACUUACAUGUUUGGCCUCUAACUUAUUUUUUAUCUUGGAAGAUCCAUAAUAUUUGUUUUUUCUUUCGUGUUUGGUCCUGAGCUAAAAAGACUAUUGUGCCACUUGAUUUAUAGGCAAAAAAUAGUUUUUCAAAAAGCCAUGAAUUCUUGAAUUUUCCAAAAAGCCAAUAAGCACUUUGAGAACCAAUUCCAAACACUCACUCAAGACCCGAAAACAAGUUAUGUCUAAGUAUCUGCUGCUAAUUUGUACAACCUAGAUCUGAACAAGAGCCUUAGUGUCGCUGUCAUCGUUAUUGUAACAACACCAGAUCCGCCGUCGGAGAAAACAUACAAGGUUUGUCACCCACCUGUUCGCCGUUGAAGUAAACCACUAGAGCAAGAAAAGGAGAAAGAAGGGGGNNNNNNNNNNNNNNNNNNNNNNNNNNNNNNNNNNNNNNNNNNNNNGGGGGGAGCCUUGAAGAAUCGAUAUGAGAUCUAGGUUUUAGUUGUUCAUUGUUUCGUUGAUGAGGCUGUUGUGUGCUAGCAAUGUUUCGAAGCAGGAAAUCCAAGAAUUUAGGGAUGGAUUUAUGGUUAUGAUUUUUAGUCUAGUUUCGAUAUUUUUAUUACAAUAUGAUUGGAUAGUAUGAUUAAAUUGAAUGUCAAGUGUGAAUGAAUUGAUUUUAGAUUUGAUUUCCUUUUUGAUUUAAUUUUCCAUGGUUGUCUCCUCCGUUGCCGGUUGACGAGCUUUUCAUUAUUAUUUUCAUUUGAAAACCCAAAAACAAUAUCUGUCCAGGUAUAUGAUGUUGAUUUAUGCAACCUAGAUUUGAUUUUGGUUCUAAUUUUAGAUUUGAUUUGCAUUUGGGAUAUGAUUUAUGGUUUUGAUUUUAGAUUUAACUUUUGGUUUGAAUGGAUUCAAUGUGGUUUUUAUUUUUCCCGAUGUGAGAGAUAGUGGUUAUUUGCUUCGAUAGUAUAGGUGAUGGUGGUGUAGAUGUUGGUAGUUUCUUCUGGUGGCAUUUUACUCCGUCAAGAGAAGAAACUGGGUGAAAGACUAGAAGGUAUAAAGGGACGAUGUUAAUUUUCUAGAUUAAUCAUAAAUUUAUAAUAAUAAAUUAUAAAUGAAAUACAUAAAUAAUAAAAUUAAUUAAAAGUCAGUUAAUAAGAGACCAAUAGUCUUUUUAGGUUAGACAAUGACAAACCUACAACAAAAACAAACAAUAGAGACCUUCUGAGUUAAAAAAAAUAGUUAAGGACUAAAUGCAUAAGUUACCCCAAACCAUAGACCAUUCGUGUAAUUUACUCUAAUAUUUUUAAAGGAAAGCCCUAGAAAAAACCUACCUAUUAUCAUUCCAUGCUAAAAACAACCAUUAUUUUAUUUUUUUUGUACAAUAAAACCAUUUUAUUUGUUCAUCAUGCUUAAAAUAAUGAUUGGUAAUUGUGACAUCCCCAAAUUUCUCGGCCAAGAAAGGAUGUUUUAGUUAUACUUAUUUUAAAACAUAGUUUAUUUAUAAAUGUGGAAUUUGUACGAUAAAAGUACAUACGAAUAAAUGUUUUUCAUUGACUGAUUAAAGCUUGGGAUGUCAUAACUAAUACAAGAAACAUAAGAAUAAACGUAAUCAUUACAGGCCUUACACAUUUAAUGGUUUAUAUUUCCUUUAAUCUCUCAUCAGAUCCGAACAUCAAGUACCUUCGUAUCGAUAUAUGUGAUGCAAAGAAACUGAGUGGGUUAGGUUGGAAAACCAGGUAAGUACCACUAGUACAAAAAUGACAUAUGGCCAGGCUUUUUGGAAAUAGGGUUGUCACGAAUUUUGUUAAUUGCAUCACUAAAGGUCAUUAAUCAAAUUCCCAUAAUGUUUUCGUUACAUAUCAACUAAACAUCGUCACUAUUGCAAACUAUUUUCACACAUUUUAUCAUUAUUUUACAUAAAAAGUUUGACAAAUACUUGUCAAUAGUCACAUUAUAUUAUUGUGACUGUAAGUAUUUUAUUAUGACAUUUAAAAAAACAUGUGAUUGUAAGUGUUUUAUGAUAACAGUUAAAUUUCAUAUGUACGUCUAAAAUUAAUGAUUUUGAAUAUAUAAAAAAAUAACAAGUGACCGGAAGUAUUUUAUUAUGAUAUUUAAAAAAACAAAACAUGUAAGUAAAAGUAUUUUAUAGUCACAUUUUAAUUUUUAUGUGUCUAAGUCCAUAACUAUAAUUUGUAUGUACUUGAACUAAUAACAACACAGUCCUUUUGGGUUGCCCUCAAACCUAGCAACUAGACAAUGAAAUUAUGAAAGGAGAGAGAUUAAUUUAUUAUAAGAUUAAUAAAUUAAUAUAAAUGAUUUAUUAAUAUGUUAUGAGAUUAAUAUAUUAAUUUGAAAUCAUAAUGUUUGACUAAUAGUUAGCAAAAAAUUAAUUGGAAUUGAUUUUGGGGUUAAUUGUAUUAAUUAUAAAGUACAUGGACUAGUUUGCAAUUAUCAAAUAGUUGGAUGGAAGGUUCCAUAACCUCCUUGGAGGAGGUAGACAAAAUCAAUAGGGGAAACCCUAAUGAUUUCGUCCAAGUGCCUUGGUUUGCUUCUGGAUAAGCUUGGGCCCUAAGCAAAGGAACAUUAGGGUUUUCCCUUAAACCCUAGCUGCCUCAGCUAUAUAAGGAGCCUCAUGGCUCCUGAAUUUCGAUCAUCCCUACACCUGGAGAGACCCUAGCCAAAAAUUGCAUACUCUCUCCUCAUCCUCUCUCUAUAUAGUUUCCUUCUUGCUAGUUCUUGGGUAUGAUUCCAUUAGAGGCAUUAUAGUUGUGGUGUUAAGCUUCCAAGAAGACCAAGAUCAAGGAUUACCAAUUGUUUGCUAUAUCAAUUGAAAGGCAUGUGAUUCUAAAACCCUAAUUAGUUAUUUUUGAAAAUAGCCUCCUCUCAUAGGGUUCUAGUUUUGCAAUUCAAAGUUAUAUGUUCAAUAGUUAAAACAUAGAUCCAAAGUAGGUUACAUGUGAACUUAGGAAUUGUUUUUCUAGUUUAUUUGCUUUACUUAAAACUCAUCAAAGGUAUCAGAGCCAUUGGUUUUGUUUUAAAUUGAAUUGCUAUAAUAGUUGAAUUGCAACUUAAGGUUUAUAGCUAUUAAACCCUAAAGGCCAUGUAACACCCGUUUAUUUAUUAAGUUAAAUAAAUUAAUUAAUGAACGAAUGAUAGCCUAAAAUCAAUAAUUAUAUAGAAAGGUGUAAGUUUCGGGAUUUACUUUAUAAAGAUUUUUAGAAGACAGGGGUUUUUUGGUAUAAUUUGGGCAUAAUAUGAAAGGAUUUAUGGAAGAAGGGGCUAAAUAGUAAAUUUUGGACUCCAUUGGAGAACAAUUUUUAGAGGAGGGGCUAUUUGGUAAUGGUUGGACCUAAUAUGUGAGAAAUUAUAGAAGUCGGGGUUUAAAGGGUAAAUAUGGGAGUAAAUUUGAAAUUGUUCCUAAAGGGAGGGACCAUUAAUGCCAUUAUGGAAUAACGUUUGUGAGGGGUGUCGGGUAUAAGAAUGUCCCAUAACCCUAACCCUAGAAGUUGGAUAGAGUCGCCACCUUCCCUCUUUCAUCACUUUCGGUAGCCGCCGCUCUCACCCCUUCAAUCUCCGGCACCGCACCACCACCUCCAUUGAGGUCACUAGUCACCGAGUGCCGCCACAACGCUGUUGUCGAAAGUANNNNNNNNNUGUCGGAAGUUUUGAGCCGCCGAGAUCGAACCUCCAAACUGUGAUUGGAGUCCGCUGCCACUACUCUCCCUUCUCGCCAUCGUUGGUGUCAAAUCUGCCCGCCACUCCACCACUUGCAUCCUCCGACCGACGAUGUUAAGCAUGGAUGAGGAAGCCUCUAAGGCUUGGAUGGCAACAACCGGUUGCUGAUAUCGUUUAUCGCUACCCUAUCUUCUUCUACUCCCAACUCUUGACGCUGGCGUUGUGUGGAGCCGACAAACCACCGAAAUCGCCACUGCGAGCCUCCGCUGCCAGCGUGAAGGAAUCACCAUUGACCAAUGACUUGUUAAGCGGGACUGUUGAGAGGCACCGCCAAGAUCAAGAGGAGGCACUGCCAAACCCUAGCUGCCGCCAUAUCUCCCGACUUCCGUGCGCCAUGAUCGCCGCCAUGUUGCUACUGCUGUAGAACCUCCGUGUGCCACUGUGAGGUGUGUGGUUAUGUGCAUUCCCGAGCAAGAGUGUGUUGUGUGUUUUGAUGGCCGGAAAAUGGUGAAGAAAACCACCAUGGCUGCUAGCCAUGGUGGCUGCCGCCAUGUACCACCACCGACCACCACAAGGGUGGUUGUGGGUGUGUGUUAUUUUUAGUAUAGUGUGUGUGUGUUAUUAUGUGAGUUCAUUACAAUUGUAAAAAUUGGAAUAAUGAAAUGGAACUCAAACCACCACCGUAGGGUGGUGGCUGCCGCCUCCUACCCCACCAGCCGNGCCACCGGCCGCCCUGUCGGAUAGCGGUGUGCUUAGUUGUGUUGGGAUUGCUAGUUUGGGGAUGUUUGGUCAAGGGACUAAAACCUUAAUGGGCCCAAUGAGGCUUAAUGGACAUAAAAGCCCAAGCAUGUGUCUAAUGGGCUUAAUGGACCAUAAUGGAUCCAAGGACUUAGCUAAUGGGCCUAUUGGGCUAAGAUGGGUUGGAAACCCUAAUGCCAUGAAACCCUAAUUUUUGGGGAAAUAAUCGAAACACACGGGAAUUAUUAAUAACUUGGAAUAAUAAAUAAUAAUCAUUGGCAAGAUUAAUCUAAGCGAUAGUGGACUUAAUGGAUUAAGUCCUUAGAGGAUUAAGUCCUUAAUGGGUUAAGUAGGAAACUUAACCCUAAUCGUCACUUUAUGUGAAACCCUGAUUUCAGUUGGGUUUAUUAUUGUUUUUUGAUGAUCGGGUUAUUAAUGGGCCAUCCAGAGUCAAGAAAAUGGACUAGAAUAAUUUAAUGGGCCUAAGGUAAGUCCCAUGUAAGGGGUUAGGCCCAAUUUGGAAAAUUGGGCCAUAGAUGGGCCAUAGUUGGGCCUUAAUGAUUGUAUAAUGUUGGGUCUUAGAAUAAGACCAUGUAUAGGCCUGGGCACAAUUUGGAAAAUUGGGCCAUAUGUUGGGCUUUGAUUCCUAGUUGGAUUUGGGCCAAUGGAUUGGGCCUUGGGCUUAAAUAAGCCAAGCCUGGGGUAAUGUAGCAAUUAUCCAAGUACGUAUUAUGGUUAUGAGUUGGGAUCCAAUUAUUAAUUGGGUGUUGUUUUGGCGUGUUGACAAUUCAGGAAUCUGUCAUCCAGUAGCUGGGGUUGAGUCUGCGAGACUUCAGCAGUGUGGGGUUGAGUCUAAGGGACUUCAGCAGUGCGAGGUGAGUUACCUUCCAGUAGUGGUGGGGCUACGGCCACAAUGCCGGCCCACCAGUAGGAGUUGUAUGUUAGAUGAUUGUCUUUGUGAUAUCAUCUAGGCUUGCUACUACCUGAUAUGUUAUAUGCUGGCAUGAUAUGUUGUAUGUGAUAGUAGUAGAGUUCGGUUGUUAGGACCGAAGGGUAGUUCAGGCACCCAAGAUAUGUCUGACAGUAUGUGAUGAUAUGUUUGUAUGUUGGCAUGAUAUGUUAUAUGUGAUAGUGGUAGUAGGAGGGGAAUAGUCCCCAAGUUCGGUUGCUAGGACCGCAGGAUAGUUCGGACACCCCAGAUAUGUCUGAUAGUAUGUUUAUGUUAUGAUAUAUGUGAUAGUAGCAGUAGGGGUGAAAUAGUCCCUGAGGGUUGAUUGUUAGGACCGACGCGUAGGUCAGCACCCUAGAAUGGCUUGACAUGGGUAGGUCAGCACCUUAGAAUGGCUUGACACGGGUAGGUCGGCACCCCAGAAUGGGCGCACCGGGUAGGUCGGCACCCCAGAAUGGCCGUACCGGGAGACGGACACCCCAGAAUUGUCCGACAGUAUGUAUGCUAUGUGAUUGUAUGGUAUGUGGUAUGAUGGGGGAACUCACUAAGCUUUGUGAUUACGGUUUUCAGUUUUGGUUUCAGGUACUUCGUUUUCAAAGGAAAGGAGCCGGCUCGAUCGCAGCGCAUCACACUAUGUUUCCGCACAUGAGAUCCUUGGGGAUUACGCUCUGAUAUGUUUUUAUGAUCCUAUGUUUUGGAUUACUGUCGCUUGGGUUUUAACAUGAGACUUUAUUAUGAAUGUUUUUAUACUGAUGGUUUUAUGUAAUAACAUAAAUAAAAAUGAAAUUUUUGCCUGUAUUUUUGGGAUGUUACAGGCCAUGUUUUUCAUUUUUAGGGUUUUGGUUUUAGGGGUUUUCGAAAAACCCUAGCCUCCAUAAACCCUAAUCGAAAUUAGGGUUAGGGUUUUAAAAAAUCCUAGCCACCUUCCUUAAAUUUCGAAAUUGCCUUAGGUUUUUAGGGUUUCUUGUUUGAAUAGUUGUUACAUAAUUGGAUUAAUUGGAUAAUUAUCCUAUACCCUAAAUUUUUGAAAUUGAGAGGGUUUAGGAUUAUGAUUAAAUUAAUUGUUUAUUUUACUUAGAUAAUCUUCCCAAUAUUUAAUAAAUUAAAAGUUAAUAGAUAAUUAUUAAAUCUAGUUUUUGGUUUAUUUUGAAUUUGAAAUUAAUAGUCUAAUUUUCGAAAAUUCAUUUAAACCUUAAAGUUUUAAAAAGUUUAAAACNNNNNNNNNAUAUAUAUAUAUAUAUAUAUAUAUUUAUAUAUAUUAUAAUUAAAAAUUAAAUAUUAUAUAUGUAUAAGAACUGGUCAGUAGAAUCGCUAGUAUGCCUCAUUCACGAAGCUAGUCUAUAAGGGGGUAUAACGAAACUUCCUAUAAAAUGGUAGUUGAAUGGGUGUCCACUCUCACCCACCGCUUCCUUGAUUAGUGGAGGGUCGUUAGCAGAACGGAUUUGAUAGGACAAGUUAAUCUCAUUAAAAGUAUAAUGUUAUUGGUUAAGUACUAGAACAUCAUUUUAUUACUUUAGGAAAAAUGUGAAUAGUAUGUUAACCCAAGAAAUCGCACUUGUAUAAGUCCUUAGUGGUGCGUGUGUGGUUAGCCGACACACUAAUUAGGACUAAUAAAGACUCGUAAUGGGUAUCUCAUGAUUAUCAUGGGGAGUCGGUUGUCAGUCAUGUGCAAAGAAUGCAACGCUACAUAGAGCGUUUGGUCAAGCUCAACGUACACUUUGAUGAGGAAUUGGCCAUUGACAUGGUCUUGAACUUAUUACUUGAUUGUUAUGGUUAGUUCAUCCUAACUUACCAUUUGAACAACAUCGAGCAAACAUUGGCCCAAUUACACAAUCUGUUGCAAACAGUUGAGGUAGGAAUGAAGGGUAAAAGUAUAGCCUCCACUCCUACUAGUUCUUGCAUCUUGGCUAUUGGACAGGGAAAGGGUAAAAAGAGGAACGGUCCUCCUAAGCAAAACUGGAAGGGCAAGGCCCAAGUUGGGUCAUUUAGCAGUGGCCUAAUGGCCAAGCCCAAUGUUGUCAUUCCCCAUGAUUCUGAUCCAAAGGAUGCCGAUUGCUUUUAUUGCAAUGACAAGGGGCACUAGAAAUGAAGGUGCCCGAAGUAUCUACAGGACAUUAAAGAUGGCAAGGUGAAGCCAUCUUUAGCAGGUAUUUACACUAUUUCUUUUAAUAACUCAUUAUCUUCUCGUUCUUAGGUCCUUGAUACCAGAUGUGGUUUUCACAUAUAUUCUAAUUUGCAUGGGAUAAAAGAAAGUGAGGAGGUGGAGCGAGGGAGGAUAAACUUGAUCAUGGGAAACAAAAAGUCCACACUAGUAACCAAGAUCGGAAUUCAUCAACUUUUGCUUAAUAAUGAUGUUAGAUUAGAUUUGUUGAAUUGUUGCUAUUCAUAUGAGAUGAAGAGAAACGUUAUUUCAUUUCAUGCAUUGUUAAAACACGGUUUUAAGUAUUCUUUUAACUAUUUGAAUGGUUUAAUUUUUGUUUAUAAGAAUGGCAUUUUUGUGUUUGAAGCUUUACCUUGUGAUAGUGUGUAUGAAACAGUGACUUGUGUUCAUAGCUUAGGUAAUAGUGUGUUUAAUAUUGACUUGUCUAAUAGUGUAGACAAGGCAUGCUUGUGGCGUUGCCGUCUUGGACACAUUAGCAAGAAACGCAUAGCACAACCCCAAAAGGAUGGAGUGUUGGAAUCAUUUGACCUAAAAUCAGAUGAUAUGUGUGAAUCUUGUCUUUUGGGAAAGAUGAAUAAAUCACCUUUCACGGGAUCUCGUGAAAGAUAUGAAGGUGUUGGAUUAGGUGUCUAAGCCCAUAACUAUAAUUGGUAUGUACUUAACCCGAGAGUAGCAUGGUCCAUUUGGGUUGCCUUCACUAGAGCAAUUUGAUAGGAUGGACUUUUGAGAAGAGAUUAUUUGUGAUUUAUUUAUAUAUUAUAAGUUCUAAUAUAUUAAUAUGAAAUUAUAUUAUUUAAUUAGUAUUGAUCAAGAAUGUAUUUGGAAUUAAUUUAGUGAUCAAAAGAGACUAAUUAAAUUUACGGGGACUGAUUAAGCAAAUCAAUGAUUAUUAUAGUGUGGGCCAAUGAUCCAUGGUUAUUUAGGAUGGGCUAAACCAAUAUGGAUAGUCCAUGGAGGUUUAACCCCUGGAGCCUACGUAAUAUUAAGGGUCAUGUGAAUUAGGGUUUGUAUGGAUGUAACCCUAGAUGUUACCACACUAUAAAAGGAACCUAUAGUCACCAAAAUGGGCUCUAUGCAUUCUAAGAAGAGUGAUAAAAGAUUUUGUGUGCUAAGUAGCCUCUCAUUCAAGUUCUCCUUUGUUCAUGGUGUUUGUGAACCAUUUGAGGCAUCACAUUUAAGGUGCUAAGUUCUUAAAAGCCAAAACUACAAGCUACAACAAAGAGGCAAUUCUAUAACUCACUUUUAUAUUGUUUAUGUCAAUUGUAUGGUAGUUGUAGGCUUAAUGCUUUGGAAACAAUAUUGCAUGUAUAAUUAGAGAAAACAUGGAUCCAAAGCAUUUAGGGUUGUAUGUGCACCAUACGAUGUUGUAGUAUACAAAACCCAACAGUGGUAUCAGAGCAUAUGAUUGUUUUCUGUUAUAUUUGAUGCAUGACUUAUUUUUUCCAAAGCUAAAAAACUGUUCUGACAGCACCUACUUGACGAGUACAUUCUUGGACUCAACGAGUAGGACAAAUUUUUCCUUGAACUCGAUGAGUCCAUAGUUGGGCUCGACGGGUUGGAUGACCAGACAACAUUUUUUCGGGAUUUUUGGACUGUUUUGGAUUAGGAUCAUUACCACAAAAUGUUUUAGUUCAUAAAAUUUGAUUUUGUUGGUAUGGUAAUGAUUAUACUCAUCUAAUCAAAAGAUAAUUUUCAAAAUUUCAAGAUUUGUAUUAGUUUAUUUAGUAGGAUAAUUUCUAGUAAAUUGUUGAUUUGAAUUGUCUUGACUUAUGAGUUUAACUAGAUCAAAGAUAAAUUAUAUGAUAAUUUCUAUUUGUUAAAAUAUUGAUCUAAAUAUUCUUUAAAGUCCUCAAUAACUUUUCCUCAAGUUAUGGAACAUGAAAAGUUUUUUCAUAAAAACCACAUUAAACUUAUAGGAAAUCAAAGGUUUUUCAAGAGUUACAAACUUGCCCUCAAGUUUUGGUAUUUGAUAAGUCUCAAAUUAAGAAACUCUUGUAAUUAAAAAGGUGUAACUCUUGGGUUAAAAAAUUUAAAAAAUUAAUUAAAUAGGUUUUGAUUUUGAAUUUUUUAUAUUUAGAACCUUGAAGUAAUUGAGUAGUUCAAAUUGCACCUUAUGGACUUUAUAAAAUUUGUAACAUCCCAAAAAUACAAGCCAAAAAUUUCGUUUUUAACUCAUUAAUAAAACCAUAAUUAUCUUUCAACAUAUAAAAAUCAUAAACGAUGUAUCUCAAGAAUAACAUAACAUCUGUCAAAUUUAUCAGAGUAUAAACAUCCCAGGCUGAACAAAUGGUGUGUGUACUGCAAACUUCCUGAGCUCCUCUUUUGAAAACUGAGUACCUGAAACUAAAACUGAAAACUGUAAGCACGAAGCUUAGGGAGUCUCUCCAAACUACCACAUACCAUACACAUAAUCACAUAACUUGGGCCUAGCCCACUGCAUCGGGCCCUGCCCGCCAUCGGACCGUAAACCGGUACACAUAUAAACAUAUCCACAAUGCAUAUAACAUAAACACAUAACAUAAAUAUAACUCUGGGACUACUCCCAACUGCAUCGGGACGAAUCCCGACAUCGGAUUACCCGACAUUGGACUCCUAUCCGGCAUCGGGCUCACCCCGGCAUCCGACCGCAUUGGGCAUCGGGCUCACCCCGACAUCGGGCUUACCCCGACAUCAGGCUUACCCCGACACAUACACAACACAUCAUAUAUAAAUAACAUAAUCACAUAAUCUUUAUCGGGCUUGCCCUAGCAUCGGACCAAAGCCCGGAACAUAUAACAUAUAAACUAGCAUACAUCGGGCUUGCCCCGAAACACAUAACACAUAGCAUAAUAACUAACAUACAUCGGGCUUGCCUGACAUCAGGCUUACCCCGGAACACAUAACACACAACAUGUAAAUUAACAUACAUUGGGCUUGCCUCGGCAUCAGACCGAAGUCUGGAACACAUAGCACAUAUCAUAUAACCUCAAUGAAUCACAAAGACAUCACACAUACUUAACUACUUCUCGGGACCGCCCCGACGUCGAACUGAAGUUCGGAAACAUAUAAACUGCAUCGGGCUUACCCCAACAUACUACAAUACUUAAACGGGUCGACAUUGUGGCCCUAGACCCGUUCCUACUGGAAGAGGACUCACUUCACACUGCUGAAGUCCCGCAGACCAAACCAUAGCUGCUGGAUGAGAGAUUCCCGGGUCUGUCAAUAUCAAAAUAACACCCAAUUAAUAAUUGGGUUCCAACUCAUAACCAUAAGUCCAUGCUUGGGGUAAAAGACUACUUUACCCCUAUCUUAUCUUGACUCAAGCCCAAAGCCCAAUCCAAAGGCCCAAAAGUCUAAUAAUGGACCAAGGCCCAACUAUGGCCCAUCAAUGGCCCAAUUUUCCCAAUUGGGCCCAAGUCUCUACAUGGUCUUGAUCAAAGGCCGAAUCAGUCAUUCUUGGUCCAACGCUUGAGAUUCUCAUAGUCCAACAUCUCAUAAUGAUCAAGGCCCAGACUAUGGCCCAUCUAUGGCCUAAUUUUCCAAAUUGGGCCCAAACUCCUUACGUUGGCCUUACGCUAAGGCCCAAACUCCUUAAAGUAUUCUAGUCCAUUUGCUUGCUUUUGGAUGGUCCAUUUUUAUCCCAAUCACCAAGGCCCAAUAGGAAGGCCCAACGCAAAGUCCAAGUGAAAUUAGGGUUUCACAUAAAAUGGCAAUUACGGGUAAGUAUUUCUCACUUAACCCAUUAAGGACUUAAUCCAUUAAGUCCUUUACUCUACUAGAUAAGCGAUAUGUGAUAAUUGGGCUUAAUACACAAUCCAAUACCAAUGGAUCAAAAGUGGGUCCAAAUAAGACCAAGGCCCAAAUACUCAUAAUUAGGGUUUUCCACCCAAACAUAGCCCAAUCGGCCCAAAACUAAUCUCUAAGCCCAUUAGGGUUCGCUAGUGGGGCACCACCCACUACCACCUCAGGUAGUGGUGGUCAAUGGCGGCACGCGGCGGCGGCCACCAGCUUACGGUGGUGGUUAUGGUUCUUUUCAUUACAUUUUCUACUAAUUACAAUUACAAGUUUUUAAUCCACAAAUAAACACACACAUACUAACUACUCUAACACACACACACACAACCACUCUAGUGGUGGCCGGCGGCGGUACAAGGCGGCAGCCACCAGCUCACGGUGGUGGUGGUGGCUUUUCACAUGAACUCCAGCUAGACAAAACACACACACACUUCAGAUUGCAUACAACACUCUAGCCACCCACCUGGUGGCUUAAGGGGACAACAACGAUGGUUUUUGGGAUGGCAGCCACCACCUCACGGUGGUGGUGGUGGUUUCUGUUAAUUCCUAGACAAGCAGCAACACACCCACGAGCAUACAACACUCGAGCCGAUAACACUUCAUUUUCAAUGGAACUACAGCAAUGUCAUCGGAUGGUGGUGGUGGCAGAUCGCAGUUGACGGCGGAACAGGAAGGAAGACGAAGAGGAUGGCAAUCCCAAGUCACGACGGCAGCAGCAACGGCAGACGGCGGGACGNNNNNNNNNNNNNNNNNNNNNNNNNNNNNNNNNNNNNNNNNNNNNNNNNNNNNNNNNNNNNNNNNNNNNNNNNNCGGUUGAGGGGCUUCUAUGGUGAUAGCGACGAUCGGAGGUGAAGGAGGAGGGUGGGGAAAUGGCGAUCGAUGCUUAGGGGGUUGGCGGUUGCAACACAUGCCUUAGGGUUAGGGUUUCACAAGCUAUAUACCCCGACCAAAUAAAAACUUUCCCAUAAUUACAGUUCUGGUCCCUCCCCAUGGGAUCUUUUCAAUUUAAACCCAAUAUUUAUCCUUUUGCACCUUAUUCCAUAAUUUUCUUUCAUCAUAAGUCCUAAUAAUUACCGAACAUAUCCCCGCUUCUAAAAUUCUUCUCAAAUCAACUCUGUAGUUUACUAAACAACCCUCCACUAUCAAAAUUCUUCACAAAUUAAUCCGGGAAUUAAAUUAAUUAAUUUAUUUAAAUAAACGAGGUGUUACAACUCUCCCCCACUUAAAUUAGAUUUUGUCCUCGAAAUCAUUCCUUACCAUUCCUUUCACUUCAAACCACUCUAGUAACAUGGUCACCAUCUUGGGCACACCCUAUCCUUUUUAGGGUAACCGUAACCAACCCUCGUAGGGUUCUAAAAUCCACAGAUAAAUGAAUUCCUCGCAACAAGAUCACAUUUACUCCGUCCGAAAUCUGCUGUCUCGAGAUGGUCUGAAUCCCUGACAGACCGCCCAUACCGAAACACUAUCUCCGAAACCAGUCCACUUGUCUCUUAGCUGCUUACUCAACUUUCGAUAACUCAAGGCUCCCACUAGAGAACAUACUCACAAAUCCUAAUUAUCCCUGAAGAUCACUUAUGCUUGGCUGAGGCUUAGAUAAUCCCGACAUGCUAUUACUGCUUGAGACACUGAGACGGUCUGAAACACCGAUCUGCAUGAAACACUGAACUGCCUGAAACAGUAUGUUGCUACAUGGCUGCUUUCCAAAAUAUAUCGAGACCUUCCUGGUCUCAAUUGAUUCGUCAGUCAUCUGAAAUACCGGGUUCCAGCUCGGUUGUGGAGCCAAAGGGCUCCCUACUUAGUCGCUUCACACAACUCCUGAACGAAAUCCUUCUCUGGAACCAACUGCUACUAGUUAUCUUGUCACUGUGUCCCUAGUGGCCUUCUGAUCUAACUGAUCGAUUCCAUACGUCGGAUCCUGACGUCACCAAACCCAAGGCUAAAAGUGAUUGCUACAUGAUCAUUGGUAGCCUUAUGCCAUGCAGGACCUUAAUCAAUUCACUGCUUCCUUGCUCUCUUAGCUGUAAUGGCGCUUCUAUAGUCUUAUCACUGGAUCAACCAGGGCUAAUUCGUAUGGUUAAUUUCGAAAUCCAAUCCGUGGAUUUCCGUAUCCUCACUACUACACCCGAACUGGUGGGUGCUACUAUUCUUUUCGCGUCCUAACAACGCAUUCACACUAUCUACCAACCUAUUGAAUGCUACGGCUACACCUGUAGACUUACAACACUCUACCACUAUAUGGCUGCUAGUGAAUGCUACGGCUACUCCCGUAGACUUAUAACACUCGAAUACUAUCUGGCUGCUAGUGAAUGCUACGGCUACACCCGCAGACUUACAACACUCUAACACUAUCUGGUUGCUAGUGAAUGCUACAGCUACACCCAUAAAAUUACAACACUCUCCAUAUUGGAUUGACACGCGCUUGACCCGCACUCAACUGAACUCAUGUCCUAACUGGAAUCCCCAACAUGGUUCCCUAAGGCUUGCUGGAAAACAUUACGGGAACGCAGUCUCCUUAUUAGCAAGUUUUUCCGAACUUCUAUCUCACACUAUCCUCAAACCAUACAGCCGCUUGGGCUGUCUUCCUUCCUGAGAAGGAUGUGAAACUCAUCCCAAUUUCAAAACUGCUCCUACUUCUGAAUCCUUGGAUGAUUCUCCCCCACUUUGAUUCAACUAAUGUCUUAGAGCACACAAUACUAGAAGGAUUCUCAAUCCUUCUUACCAUUCUAUGCCCAAUCUGCUGAAAACCACGCUUACGAUUGAUAGUGUUUCAAUACUAGCCAGUCCAAAAGAUCACACCACGUCCAAGAACCUGAAUAAAUUUCCGGUAAUAACCUGCUAGACCUAGGAAGCUUCGAAUCUCAAUUAGAGACCUCAAAAUCUCCCACUGCAUCACGACCUCUAUCUUUUCCGGAUCGACUAGAAUACCCUUCUGAUUGACAAGGUGCCCAAGAAAUUGCACCUCGCGCAACUAGAACUCACAUUUGAAGUACCUUGCAAAAAGUCUCUCCCUCCUCAAAGUCUCUAGCACCUCCCUCAGGUGUUUCUCGUGCUGCUCCCCAGUCUUGGAAUAAACCAAGAUGACGUUGUACUCUCCCAAUCUCGCGAUUUGGGAUAUGAUCUUUCACUAUCCGCUAAUAGUUCUCAGUAUGAAAUUGGCAUAUGACAUUUCUUGGAAGUAUAAUUCAAACACAAACAGAGGAUAAACCAGAGUCACACUUACUCAAACCCCUAGAAUGAAAGACUCUAUCGUGUAUUUUCCCGCAUGUGCUGUACUAAAUCUAACCCUGUUGGUCUCUCAAAAGCUGAUCCAAAAUUUAGGGUCUCCUCCCAAGACCCUUCAAUAUAAGCAACUGAUCUAGUCCUCUCUUACUGAUGUGCUCCAAGCCCAUAUCCCGUUCUCAAGCUCUAGAAGUCAUAUCAUUCAGGGUCUUGCACCCCGAGAUACUCACGAUCUCCUUGCUACCAUUCUACAAUACAUUCUGAUAACUUACCUUCUUUAUUUCCUCAUCUGCUACAUACUAUGGUACCAUAUAAGCUCUUUCCCGAGGCUUGGCAGUGAUCUCUGCCAUAGUCUCAGUCGUCUGGUGGAGAUCUAACAACUCCUGCACCAACUGUUGCGCCUCAAUCGCCUGGGCACACUCUGCCCAGAAUCUGGUCUGAAAGUCAUCCAAUGACAUAGCAUUAACUGCUUCAUCACUCCACUCACUACCAACCUUUUCCUAUCAAUAUCAUACUCUGUCCCUCAGGAGAUAGGAAGUAAGUUGGAUCUUGUCUCCUUUCGGAUAUUUGGGAUUUUGUAUCGACUCAACCGUAUUAGAACCUAACUGAGUUGUAGUCUAGUGCCAAGAGGAGGGAUAUCAAGUUGGAGACCAAGAGGAAGGAUGAGAGGGCGACGUUAGGGGCGGGAUUAUUCAGUGGCCAAGCGGUUCAAGAUUGCCGACUCGAGUCUAGGGUCAGUUUAUAGGAAGAUUUUUUUAGUGUGGCAAGUGCGAAAGGUUUCACAAUGGAAGGUGUCGAUCUUUUGUGUGUUGUAGUUUCCGCAAGGAAGGGCAUUUUGCUACGGAUUGCAUGCAGAGUAUGCGGGUUCAUCUCCAUUGCGGUCAGGAGGGCCACAUCAGAGCUUGUUGUCCCUUUCUCAUUUUCGGCGAGGUGCAAAACCCUACACCCCUAGCUUGAAAGUUACCCGACGGACAUCAUGGGACGGUUGGAGUUUUGGAGACUGAGGGUUGAGUUACUAGUUCUUCGAUUUAGUUGGUUAUAGCAGUGUUGCUAUCAUCUAUAUUUUCUGUUAGAGUUCUAGAAGUUCAGUUGUAAUCUUGAAUGAUCAGUGUAAUGGAAUUGUUUUAAUUAGUUCUGGUUUUAGUUUGAUCUCCUAUUUGCAAAUGGAUUGAUUAUUGUCCUUGAAUUUUUUUUUUCAUGUGUAUUGGAAUUCAUGAAUGUUUUUUGUAGGUUCAGAUUCUCUUGUGUAUCUGGUUGACAGGGAUGGGGAUCAAGUAGUAGAGUUCAAGUGCGUCUGGGACAUGAAGGAUUGUGAAGUUGUCAAAGUCCAUCAUAUUCCAAGUGAGGGAGAGUGGAGACCACAUAGAAGGAAGACCUUAAUUUAAUAAAUAUUUGAAUUAUUUGAUUUAAACCACCAUGUCCCCUGUGUUCGACACCCUUUCUUACCACAACUAUAUUACUUUGUGACUAGGUACACUGCCUAUUUGUGUUUAAGACUAGUUGAGAUUAGAUAUGACUACAUAAAUAAAAAAACAAGUGUAUAAAUAAACACAUCAAGUUUUUGGAGCCGUUGUCGAGGAACGGUUUGAAUUUUGUUCAGAUUUUUAUUUUUUGAUUAAAUUUUGUUUAUAUUUUUGUUGUUAUUUUUAUUUUUUUAGUUUCUAUUUAAAUGGAUACGAUUAAUGCUAUUCUUCAGCAUGAGUUGCAGGAACUUGAUGACCUAUUCGACCCAGAAAAAGAUUUGGAGGAGCUGGAGAGGUUGCUAGCUAAAGACUCAAACGAAGAACAAGAACAAGUUGAAAUGCAGGAACCAUUGGACCCCUAUUUUUCCGAUUUGUGUUUUGAAGCACGGGGUGACGAUUCCAACUUUGGAGAAAAUUCUGUUGUACAAUUCAUUUUUUAUUGGUGUCCAACCGGUUCCAACCCUUGUCAACAUUCUUGGAUUUUAUAGAUUCAAGCUCGACCGACCGAUUUUCGAAAUAAAAAGUCAAAUCUUACAAAUCAGUCCAAAAAGAAUAUUAAAUGUGACGAAUGGAUUUGUCAAUGAGUAGAUUAAUAGUUUAUUAAGUUGGGAGUCCAGCUCAAGUCUUGCACAAAAAGAAGCACUUAUCGGGAGGCAAUCCAACUUUUAAAUUAGUUUGCAUUUUCUUUUCUUUUCUUUUUUCUUUUUUCUAUAUUUUUAAUUUUUAAUUUUUAGUUUUAUUUUGAACAAAACUGCUUUUGAUGAUUCUUAUUUUUGUUGCAAGAGAAUUUUUAGCUAAGAAAUUGUUAAUGGAAAAAAACGUGUGGGGUGGAGUAUUACGAGAAGAAGGCAUGAAGCAUGACACACAAAUAAGAGUGGGGUAUACAUCCGACAUGGAGAAAACCAAGGUAUUGAGCUUUCAAUGCUACAUAUGGGAAGAAACUGAUAUGAGAGACUGGUCGAGAAAUUAGCUACUUCCAGAUUAGUCGAUUCAUUCAAUGAUGAAGAAUUAAGAGUUUUCACGAAGACGGGACACGGGCCUAGCUACCUCGAGAGGCGAAUUUUUAUUACAUCGCGACUACUUUCCUGACAUUUGAAGACCGCGACGUGCCAACGCCUCGAAAACCUAAGGGUUCCUCCGCACAAUUCGCAAUACGCGUUGUAACAAUGAUUUUCUCACAAGUUUUACUUUUUACAAAGACAACACCGUGGCCAACAACUUGCCAAGAUGUGGAAACGCCCCAGUCAAAUUUUUGAGCUAUGAAGAUUAGUUGUCCGCCUACCUUUAUGCCAAGAGUCCACCAAUUUCAUCAAGAAUGUUCAGUUCCAAGAGUGUUCCAGCAGACAAAUUCAAGCUAGUAUCAAUAAGCAACCCACAACAUUCAUCUGAUCUCGCGACUACAUAACCAAAGAGAGUUUGUUCCUUAUCUCCCUCUUUCAUUUUAUAUCUUUUAAUUGUUUUUAUACAAUGAGGGCAUUGUAUAAUUUAAGUGUGGGGUAGGGGAUCAAAUAAAAGGAAAAGAGCAUGCUAGAAAAAAUAUAUAUGCUAGAUUUUUUUAACAAAAUGAAAAUAUACAUAGACUUGAAAAAAUGGUUUAAAAUAGGAAAAUCAAGAAAAAUUUUAAAUUGUGCUUUUGUUAGAACUAAGUUUGCUAGUAUCGUGUGGGAUAAUUUGAUGCAAAUUUAAAGGUUUAGUUAAGCUAAUAGUUAUAGUAUAUUUGUGGCUUCCUAGUUCUAGUGAAAUCAUGAGUUAAAAACACGAACUUGUGUAGUUUGAGGGACAUAAUAUGUUUUGCAUCAUGUACUUGAAAUGUAUCCACUAAAAUUAUGUAGCCAUUGCACUUUAGACUAAUACCUUUAACCAAUAAGGGUUGAGGUUUAGGUCCCUUGCUUAAGCAUAUGUUUUUCUUUUAGGUUUUAUUUUGAGAGAAUAAAAGUGAGAUAUGAAGAAAAUGAAUAAUGUUGUGAUAAAAAAAAGAAAAAAGAAGUUGUCAAAAGUUGUUGAAUAAAUACAAGUUUGCAAAGUAUAAAGAUCUUGAAGAAGUGAAGAAUAAGGAAAAUUGGAAGGGAUUAUUUGAUUUGUAAUUUUCUUUCUAGAUUAUUUUGUCAUAUGUAUGCUUGGGAACUUAACAAAAAUUACAUUGAGGUUAAGAAAGUUUUAUGAGGAUGUAUUUGAAGGGAUGCAUAAAUGAAUGUUGUUCAAAAUAAGUAGGGAAUGUUUAUGAGGAUUGUGAGUACGUAGGACACGGGAAGUAAUUAGGGUCUAGACAAAAAUAUAUGCAUUGAGGAGAGACAUAAUUUGUGAAUUCAAAUUGGUCUAUUCUAUGUGAUGUUGGUUGGAAAAGUUUUGAUAUAGCAUAAUAACAUUCUAGUUUGCUUGAGGACAAGCAAAAUGUUAUAUUUUUAGAUAUAUGAUACUUAAAGAUAAGUGUGAGGUAUUUUAAAAUGUUCAAUUACAAUUAAAAUGAGAGAUGGGAUGCAAAAAGAGGAGAACGGAGCUGAAAAAGACACAAAAAGGAUGUUGUUGGCAGGACCCCGCAUCAGUGUUUUGACCAUAUAUCAUGACUCGUAACUUCGAUUAAAGUGAUUCAAAAUGAUUUAAAAACUAGACAAAAUUUCGGACGACUUUCAUGUUUGAGAAAAAAUGUGAAAUCCAAACACAACGACAUCGUGAUGACCACCACGACAUGGUAAAUGGAAAUUUUGCGAUCGUUGAGCUGACUUGGAGAAUACAGUAUAUCCAUGAAGACCACAACGUUGUUCCUCUUAACCACAUCAUGGUGGCCAGAAUUUGGCAAGUAUAUAUAUAUUCCAGACAUUAGGCCGUUUCCAGAAGGUGGAGGCCUAAGGGUUGCGAUUAUUCACGAGGAAAAGCCCUCUAGAGGUCGAUUUUGAAGCUAGAGAUUCAAUUGGAGCCAGGAUUUGGAGAUUCAAGUGCUAUUGUAUCGAGAUUUCACUUCAAGUUUUCUUGAUGAUCGUGUCUUUGCAUUAUUUUGGUGAUUUUUUUCUACUUUAGUUUACUGAAUAUGGUGUAAAAACCUUUACUUUCACUAGAUAUUGAUGAACCAUUGUUGAUAUGCUAUGAUUUCGUUAGUAGGAUUAACUCAUUUUGGUUUUUACUUGUGUUCAAUUGAUUGCUUUACCUUUCAUAUUAAUGUUAUGAUUUUUAUUGUUUAUUGCUGAGUAUUAUUAGGAUUAGAUGAUCAUUCUAUCUUGAUGUACUUAAUCAUAUGAAUCUAUGAUCAUUAGGUUUGUAUGACUAUGACUUUGAUCAUAAGCCUAAGGUUAAAUAAUAUUAAUCGGUGGCUUUGAUUGCGUUAUAGAGCAUUAGAUAUUCAUGAUACGCUUAGAUUGAUUGUCAUGAUCAUUAAAAGAUAUUACUAGAUCAUAUCGUUCAUAGUUCGAAUACAUUUAAUUAAUUAUGUGGUCACUAAUUGCAUGAUCAUUGUAUUAGUUGUUCAUUAAUUAUUAGUACUAAGAAAUCCAAUCAAGAUAACUAGUCAUAUUACAAUUCGGUAAUCAAUUCAUUAAUCCAUAUUACCUCUAAUAAAUCAAACAUAAAAACUUUGGGGGAUUCGUAUUCUAGUGGAAGUACUUCUUAUCUACUGUUUCCAUUUAGUUCUUUAAUUUCGUUGAUUAAUUAAUUGUUAAAAUAAGUUUAAUUUAGUUUACACAAAAAACCACCAUUUAAUUUACUAUUAUUAAGUUAAUAAAUAUUUGAAUUAUUUGAUCUAAACCAUCAUGUUCCUUGUGUUCGACACCUCUUCUUAACACAACUAUAUUACUUCACGACUAGGUACGCUGCCUAUUUGUGUUUAAGACUAGUGGAGAUUAGAUAUGACUUUAAAAUAAAAAAACGAGUGUAUUAAUAAACACAUUAGAAAUCACUAAGCUUUGUGCUUACACAGUUGAUUAUGUUUUUUUUUAGGUUUAAUCGGUUAUUGUGGGAAGGUGAAGGCGUGAUUGUACAUACUCAUAAAAAACAUUGAGGAUUCCGCAUUUAUUAUAAUACUGUGAUUUUUCAACAAAUGUAAUUUUGAACAAACGGUUUUAUUAACAUGGAUUUUAUAAUUAUGAUGUUUUAUCUUAAGUAGAAAAAAAAUUUGGUUGUGGAAAUGAGACGUUACAGUAAACACAAAAAAAUUAUUUAGGUAGACAGUGAAUCAACCAUACAAAAUCAUGUGACACUCGAUAUGACAUUAUUCUCACAUUGACAUGUCAGUUAACCACACAUGUUCCAUCAACAAAAUAAUCUCACAAGUGACAAAUCAUAUUAACUUAUAUAUUUGCAAUGACGUACCGGUUAACCACACACACUCUAUCAUCAAAAUAUAAAAAAUAUGUGCGUUGUCAUUGGGAACACAUGACUCACGCUUUGAUAUAUAAGACUUGAAUUUUGUUUUAAUAGUUGGUUAAUAUUUUUAAUCUUGAAACAGAAUCAGACCGAACCCUUUCGAUAACUUCAGUCUCAAAAUACAAAAAGGCGGUGAGGGUUUUAAUUGCAAAGCAUUUUAAAAACGACCUCAUUAGGAAUCAUAGAUACCUCCUUAAACCUUUCUUAGAGUAUUAGAAUGCGUGUGCAUUCUCUUGAUUCAAUGAUAGUGUUUUUAUUAAACAUGUGAAGACACAUGUUAUAUUAUUAUAUAUAUAUAUAUAUAUAUAUUAAUUAAUUAUAACAUAUAUUACAUUUAAACCUUUUAAAUUUAUAUUCUUUUCUUUUUAAUUUAAUUCUCUUAUUAAAUUAAGUUCAAGUAUAUUCAAAUUUUAAUUCAAGUUUAAAUAACAUUCAAAUUUUAAACAAUUAAAUAUUCAGAUUUGAAUUCUUAUUAAAUAAUAUCUCAAAUUAAUCAAAAUUUUGAAUAUUCAGAUUUAAGCAACUAAAAUAAUAUUUUAAACAAAGGGCUUAUUCCCAGAUUUUCGAAAUUUGAUCAAAAUCCCAAAUCUGAAAAUCGGCUCAGCAAGUNNNNNNNNNNNNNNNNNNNNNNNNNNNNNNNNUCAUUUGCGACUAGCAUAUUUUUUUUCUAAUUUUUACAAUUUUUUUGCAGUUAAGUAAAACCUAUUAGGCUCUCAUACCAUUGUUAUGUUUUAUUAGCAUCAAUACAUUAUCUUAAGACAGCGGAACCAAUCAAAAGAUAUACCUAAAUAUACAUGCACAAUAGAUCUAGGUUUUACUAGUUAUAGCAACGAACUUUAAAAUUCAACUAGAAAGAAACAUAUUAACAUCUUGAUUGCUCGAUUGGUAUCUCAUACGUGUCAGUGCAUGCAAUGGAUGAAGGAUCCAAAGUAGAACCUCUCUAAUGUAGUCAGACUCACAAACACCAAAAGAAAAAUGAAUAAACCAUAGUCACAUAAUUCGUGGUACGCUUUGGUAUGGGUACGGGUACGUGGUAUGCAAUUCGCUAGGUCCUUGAAAUUCGGUACGAGGGGGGUAGGCUCAUUUCGGUAUGCUCCGGGACGCUCUGGUACGAUGUACCAAAUAUUGUAGUACCAUGUACCAAAUUCAAAACUUAUUAGAUGAACUUAAAACUUGCAGUCAAACUAACAUAAAAAAUUCAAAAUAAAUUACAUCAAAUCCGACAAACAUCAAAAGUCAAAAUAGAAAACAUAAACUUAAAACUUAAAACUCAAACAUGUAACUUAAUCCACUAUUCCAGACCAUAAGUAGACCACCAUUCAAUUGCUUACAUAGUAGACGCAUUCAUUUGAGCUACCGGUAGAGAAUAAAGACUCUUCUUCAUGUUAAAUGUGGCAAACUGUUCUAGCAACAAUCGUUCUUCGUCUCUAUUUUCAGAAACGUGAUUAAAUGCUUCCAUUACACCUUGUAUAACUUCUUUAUCAAGGUUUUGCGCUUUUCUACGAGUUCCACCCGAUGCUAAUGUUUCAAGAUAGCGGCUAUCGUAAAACCGUGGAGUUAAAGAAAAUCCUAAACAGUGUAACGGGAUGCUCAUUUUCUCCCACCUGUUCAAUACAAUUUGUUGUACUUGAGGGAAAUAUGAUGCAUACAUAUUUUCCUUCAUCAAAUCUUGUAUUUCCCCCAACAUAUUAUCCAUAUUUUCAUAAAUUUCGCCCAUUUUCAGGCCUUCACCAUCGCAAAAUUUGAUCAAACGUUAAAUUGGCUUCGUGAUGCGUAAAAUAUUUUCAACUUUGACCCAAAAGUCAUCAUCUAUUAUAUGAUUAACAACAAGAUGUCCAAUUGUUCUAGUGUGUUCAUCGCCAUGUUUCACCCAAUCUCUCCAUGAAUUACAAGCAAUUGUUGUAGAUAGUGUCUCUCUACAACUGAAUAACCUCUUCAACAAAACAUAAUGAGAAACAAAUCAGGUUUUUGCAACCCUUAAAAGCUCCAACUUUGAAGUCUCCCUAAAAAUGGACAAAGCUUGUACAAGAUUAAGAAAAUAUUUGAUAAUCGUUUUCCCCUUUUUAUACGUGUCCUGUAACCAAAUAAACUCGCUUGCAAAAUCUUUAAAAAUAAGGUUUAAGGUAUGAAUACAACAUGGCGACCAAAAAAUAUGCUUGUACAUCUUUUCCACUUCCUUUCCAGCAACUUUAUAAUUGGCAGCAUUGUCUGUCACAACACUAAGAACAUUACUUGGGCCAACAGAAUCAAUCGCUUGGCUUAGAAAAUGAGCAAUUGCUUUACCUGUUUUCUAUACUCCAGAGAAGUCACAGUGGAAUACAUAAACAUAGAACCACGACUGUUUACAGCAAGAACAUUGAGCAAUGGCUUAUGUUUUAUGUUUGACCACUCAUGAGAUACAAUAGAAAUAGCGUGUGAAUACCAUGUUUCUUUAAAGAGUAUCAAGUAUUUCUCAACAUCUCUAACAUAAUCGUCUAGUAAAACAGUUCUUGCUUUCUCACUUGAUGGCGCUUUAUAACCUUCGGGUGCCUUUCUUAACACGUUUACCAUGUCACGGAAUUGAGGAUUCCGCAAAACAUUAAAUGAAAUCCCAUUAGCAUAUAAGGCCCUCACAAUUUUCAAAUCAACUGCACUUCUCUCCAUUAUUGCAAAAUAUUGCUCUAUUGGUUUUUUAGAGCUCAAACUUGGUUUUUUUUUUUGUUAAAACAUAACUUCUUAGGGAUUUAGAGACUCCAAAUUUUUCAGCCUCUUUCACUUUCUUUUGCAACCUUUCAUAAGUUUCUCAGUCUUUUAGUACAACGGGACACAUCUUAAUUUCAGCUUUUUCCGAGUUGAGCACCAAAAAAAUGAGUAUAAAUACGGGUAUAAGAACUAGUGAAUGUUCCAUGACAAUGUUUACAAACCCAUUUUUUAGAACCACUAGGAUUUUUACUACUACCAGCACUAAUAAAAGUAACUUCAUCAUAUAAAGGCUUAGCAUCUACACUUUGUGUUUUUGGCUAUGUACCUUGACUCCCAUAACUUGUCUGAACUUCUGAUUCUAAUUGUGGUUAAUUAUCGUUGUCUAAUUCAUUGCCAAGAUCAACAUAUUGAUCUUCUUCCUCGUGGUAUUAUUGUGAUUGGGAUUAUUGUCCUCCAUCAUCUUCCUAACAGGUAUUAAUACCUCUUUUCUUUCCAAAAACCAUGAUACUUUAAGUUCUAACUGUAAUCGUUACUGGGUUUCGGAUUCAAGAACAAAACCAAACUAUCAAAUUUGAAAUUUGAUGUUCUGGAUUACAAUUGAAUGAAAAAUACGAUGGAAUGGAAGCCUAAUAUAGGCCUAAUUACAGAAUAUGGAAUCAAUUUUGAAAAGUCGCUCAUGAAUUGUUCGGUUACAGAAAAACACAGUCGACACGAUCAACUCUUCAAAUUCCAACCUGUGUUUCAAAUUGAUUGCAGACGUGUUUUGGAAUCAGGCGGUUCGUGAUUGCUACAGCAUCUGGUACGUUCGAAUUGAAUAUUUGGAACAUCAAUUCAAGUUCAUGAAUCGCGACCCAGAGCGUACCUGGUACACGUUCGUAUCGAGUUUUGGUACGAGCGAUUUGGAUCGCAGAUCGCGCCUACCCCAACGAUUUCUGUGACUAUAGAAUAAACCCUAUGCAAGGGUUUAAUCGAAAAUCCCUAACCCUAGGAGAAAGGUUGGAAAUUUCAUAUAUGGAGAGUGACAAAGAUAGAGGUGGGACGAUUUUAAGAGAGAAAUCAAUCACUCUAAGGUUUACCCCUAAUACUCUAUUUAUAGAUGCAUAUACAAUCCUAAAAUGAUUUAAACUCUUAAGGUUAAUCUUUAUCUAAUUCAAACCUUCCUUAUCCCGCCUUAUCCCUAUCAGAGAGCUAGCCAAAACUAUCAACCUCUAUGCUAUGCUCUGAGAGCUUCUACAAUAUUCAAAUUAAUCUCUAAGAAUUAAUUAAUAUUCACAUUCUUUAAUUAAUUAAAAUAGUUUAACUAAUUCCAAAAUAAUUUCAAAUUAAUUUAUUAUUUCCUAAAUAAAUUAAUAACUUAGUUUUCUCUAUUUGCUUAUUGUUAUUUGGAUCAUGAGUCAAUCCAAAAUAAUCAUAUUCUUAUUAGAAAUAUUAUUAAAAUAGUUAAUAACCUUGAACACUAUCUCCACCAUUUCUUUAACUUGAGUUUGGAUUAUAAUAAAAAAAAAUCUUUCUAAUUUCAAGUUACUAAGAAAAUAUGAUGUAUUUUAUAUAAAAAAAAUUAGGAUGUUACCGUCUUGAGCCCAUUAAACCAGUCGAUAAAGUUUAGGUCAACGAAUAUUAUAAAUGAAUCUCUUAAUACCAAUUGUAACUCUAAGACAGGAACAUGACAUUGUAAAUGCACUAAAUACAUAAAAAUCGUAUAGCACUAAAUAUCAAACAAAAGAACUCUUUAGUUUUGCAUGUAGAUGUAGCUUGAUUACUCUAAUCAAAUGAACUAUGUUAAAUCCUUGUGUUCUUCGNGAGGAUGUAGCUUAAUUACUCUAAUCAUGUCAACCAGGUUAAAUCCUUGUGCUGUUUGUUAUUCUUCAACGUCUUUAUCAUUGUUCUUGUGUUUGUCGAAGUACUUAAUUACCUAACAGGAUGAUGACAAAAAUGGAGCAAUUCAGUAUCACAUCAAAUACAACGAAUUGUGAUAGGAGUCAGGAGAGAUCAAUUCCCAAAGGAGAAAUGAACACCGAGCAGGUUACACAGAAGUGACUCCCUAUCCCUACACAGAACAUGCAAUGUCCUUGAAUUUAUACUAAAUUUAACCAACAGAAAUAUAUCGCAAAAAAAUUCUAUAUUAAAAUGUACCUGUUAGUUUGUUAGUCGCAUUUUAUAGCUGCAUAUAGGUAACGAACAAAGAGCAACGAGGCAUUGAAACCCACACUUCCAAGUAUCAAAAAUAUGCCGAAACAGACACAAGCCAUAUAGCCGAAGAAAAAGGAGGUUUGCAUGAAACCAUUCAUGUCUGAUCUCUCAAAAUAAUAAUAGAUGCAAUAAACAUAUAUAUACAAUCCAGUAGAGCCUCCACACAGAAAUGAC
RNAcentral lists this long non-coding RNA (29121 nucleotides) under Lactuca sativa (garden lettuce). RNAcentral describes it as "long non-coding RNA (LSAT_LNC007983)". The record is from RNAcentral. Lineage: Eukaryota; Viridiplantae; Streptophyta; Magnoliopsida; Asterales; Asteraceae.